CAGCCGCCGCGGUAAUACCAGCACCUCGAGUGGUCAGGAGGUUUAUUGGGCCUAAAGCAUCCGUAGCUGGUUGCAUAAGUUUUCGGUUAAAUCUAUGCGCUUAACGUAUAGGCCGCCGAAAAUACUGUGCAGCUAGGGAGUGGGAGAGGUACACGGUACUCGAUAGGAAGGGGUAAAAUCCUUUGAUCUAUUGACGACCACCUGUGGCGAAGGCGGUGUACCAGAACACGUUCGACGGUGAGGGAUGAAAGCUGGGGGAGCAAACAGGAUUAGAUACCCCUGUAGUCCCUGUCUCUUAUAC
This 301-nucleotide ribosomal RNA is filed under the name uncultured bacterium. RNAcentral describes it as "partial 16S ribosomal RNA". It matches the Rfam family "Archaeal small subunit ribosomal RNA", at positions 459 to 760 of the family's 1478-position model. The record is from RNAcentral.